Cottoperca gobio is the source of this 2679-nucleotide long non-coding RNA. RefSeq lists it as uncharacterized. The record is from RefSeq and is a predicted model, not a curated record. NCBI's taxonomy places the organism in Eukaryota, Metazoa, Chordata, Actinopteri, Perciformes, Bovichtidae. The transcript has 3 exons.
GGUCACUUCCGGUUGUCGUACUGGAAUGGCAGGGUCUCAACGGGUCAAAAUUUUCGGAAUAUUUUUCUUUCCACCUGGAUAAAAGCCUGACAGAAGAGUCCUUGGUUAACCUGGACAUAUGAUAAACAACAACUGCAGCCUAGGAGGAUCGUUAUGAUUCACUUAUCCAGUUGUAAAUGAGAGGCCAUGGACGUCUGCUCCUUUGGGAAUCUCUACCCCUUUGAAAAGAAAAUAGAGGUUAAAAAUCUGCUAAACGAGUUAGCGGCAACCAGGAUCCUUCUCUUCCACAGGACCAUGUGGCUCUGGUGAAUGACAGGUCUGGUGUUUGCAGUGAAACUCUCUGUGGCACCUCCCUCCACAGGGGACUCUGAACCACCAGCCCACAGGAGUGACUCCCACUGGGAGGGCCGAGGCCUUGCACUUCCUCCCCUGGAUGACCUCUGACACACCCAGUUUGUGCUUGGUGGCCUUGAAGAGACAGUGGUGGGGAUUUCUCCCCAGCCAAGCAGCGGGUUGUAAUUGAUGUGGCAGAGACGUCAGCACUAAUCUUUUGCUCUCUGACGGCCUCUCUGUAAGCCCCUCAUCCACUCGACUCUGAGACCUGCCGUACUAACCUCGGCAAACUGCUACCUAGUCAAUUAGAUCUAUCCUGUCUGCUCCCUGUUUUGUGUAAAUAUAUCUCCCGUAGACACCCAACAUGUUCAGUUAUCUGUCCUGGCACAUUCAGGCUGAUUUCUUAGUGCCGCUGCAUGCCACUAUCAGCAAAUGGAAAGCUCGGCUGAUAUCUCUUCCCGCAGUGAGCUGACUGAUUGUAUAUGGAAUAUGGGAACACUGUUGAUUUUCAUAUUUGUAUGAAGGAUUCCUAUCUUCCUCUACAUACCAUGGGUCCCACAGUGCGUAUGGAUAUUGUAAUCACACAGUUGUAUAUUGUGCGCUUCACCUGGGGAUACCAUUACUAAUUUUUAAAGUGGUGUGAAUAGAGUCCAAUGGGAAGCACUAUCACAAGCACGGCUCUGUUGUGUGUUCACUCGUUCCUCAACAAUGUCAGCAACUUUGCUUUAGAGGACAAACCAUGUCGUGGAAAGAGGUACUACUUGUUACUGUCAGGGAUACAGAGAGGACAUCAUAGCUCUUUGUAAGGGAAGUAAGAGAGAAGUGGCUGAACUGCGUAUUAAACAGUAUUCAAAGUUAAUUGAGCAGAGCGGUUGCAUUUUAAGAUGUUUACUGCAAGAUCCUGUUUGUUCUGUGUAGUUCUGAUUACACAGAGGUAAAAAUAGCACUUGCUAAAAAGAGAAUGUAUGUGUUUGGAGUUGAAUUUGAAAAUACUAAAUUGAUUUUGAUUGCAUGUUUGCAUGUUUGCUCAGUUAAAUAUAUAUUUUUAAUUAAACAAUACAAAACACACACACCCUCCCCCCAAAAGCAUUUUCUAGUGGUAUUAGUGUUGGUACCGGAGAUCACAUAUUUUCUGUCACUUGAUUUUCAAAAUUCUCAAACAACAAGCAAAGCAUCAACUUCACCUCUUAAUCACAGGCAAACCUUUACAAAAGAUAGACUUCAAUGAAGCACAUCUAUUGCUGUGAUUUCUGUGGAAUCAACAGCUUUAUCAGAGUCUGCUUCUCAGCUGAGCCCCGUGAGUCACCGUCUUCAGGAAAACGGUAAAUGUCACUUACAUGGCCAAAUCACCUUAUUUGGUCAAAUCAAUUUAAGGUGCAUUAGCAAAGAUUAGAUCAGCCAAUAAAAUAUACGGUUUGAGUCUUCAAACUUAUAUUUAGAUUUUUGCUUGUGGGUAUUGUUCAUGUAACUCUGGAUGGUGACUAAGCUCAGAAACGUUGUACGCUACCAAAAAUACCAGCGACCACCUCAUUCACGUGAACUUUCCCAGUCGGAAACUAAUGGCUCAAAAGCUGUGCAAUUCGUGUCUCGCCCGUGAUUCGGAUACGCUCAAAAAUGUAACGGCUUCUUCCUUGGCCUAUGCUACACCCCUCCACCAAGUUUCACGAAUCGGGCCAGAAGUUUUUCCGUAAUCCUGCUGACAGACAAAAUGAGCCAAAAACCUAAACCUCCUUGGCGGAGGUAAUUAUGACCUCCAUAACUCAUGAUUAUAACUUAAAAAUCUAAUAAUAAUGACAAAUUACGACUAGAUAUCAUACAUCACAUAUCAUAAUUAUGAGAUAACAAUAUUUUGUAAGUAAGGGAAAAGGAUUAUAACUAUUAUUUUUUACUAUGACUUUUAAAUAGAAUCUACAAAACGUAUAUUCAUUCUAUUUUAAGUAGACGUUCCCUUUUUGUGAGGGAUUUGAAAGCUUCGACAGGAUGAAGUUGUGACAUUUUCACACUAUAACACUGCAACAAACCUAUUUCCCUUAAUUCGUGUUACCUAAUGUAACCUUCCAUUUGUGAUUUGUCUAAAACAUUGUGGAUAUGAAGCCUGUCGACUACAGUGCGUUACUGGAGAGGUGGCCAGGGCAUGCUCUCUGCACAUGGUCCACUGAGAAUAUUCCAACCUCAAGGGAUUCAUCAUUUAUAUAAUUACUAUGAGUAAAUAUUCCAACAUUACAGUUGUGAUUAUUUUGCAAGAGGAAGGUCAAGCUGGUAAUAAAAAAAAAAAAAUGAAAUAAUUUACCAAACAGAGUUCCGAUCAGGAUGCAUGUAAAUGCAUCAAAGAGGGGCACAUAGACA